Peromyscus maniculatus bairdii (prairie deer mouse) is the source of this 1433-nucleotide non-coding RNA. The record is from RefSeq and is a predicted model, not a curated record. Lineage: Eukaryota; Metazoa; Chordata; Mammalia; Rodentia; Cricetidae.
CUCUCUCCCCCCCUCUCUCUCUCCUCUCUCCCCUCUCCUCCCUCUCCUCUCCUCUCCUCUCUCUCCCACUUGCUCUCGCUCUUUCUAUUUCCUUUUUACAUAUCUUUCUUUUUUCUGUGAGAAGCAUAAAGCAUUAUUAAACAAGGACCAAAACACAAAAGAAAUUAUUACAGAGAAAAUAUCCCAUUAUAAGCUGAGUGGUAGCUUCCCAGGUCACCUAUGAAUUGUCUAGCCUUUGUGUGCUACAUUAACAUGAAAUUAUCUGUCUCUAAUCCUACAUGCAGCACAAAGCACUAAUCUGUGUCAGCACCGUACAGAGUCCCUCUGGCCUGUGUCUGGUUAACCUCUGGCUUUGACACUGUAAUUCGCCUGGGUUCCCUUCCAGAGCUAAUUACUGAGUUUUGCAAAAGCAUCCAAUCUCCACUCCCCAAGAGGAAAGGGACCUUCCAUUAGUCUCUGCACAGAAACAGAUUGUCCAUGUCUGCCGUUGGAUUCCUCUCCUUAUUUCACCAAGCAUGACAGUGUGAAUACUUUUCACCCAGUUUCUUCAUGGGCAAUUGAAAAAGCACCAAAGACGUCACCAGCCAGAGCCUUGUCCUGGUUAAGCUGCGGCUGCCCUGGAGGGAAGCUGGGUACGCGGGAACACAGAAACUUGGGAAAUCAGUUUGCGUGAAUUUCCUGAAACCAACGCUGAGGCACAUAAUCCUUCCUGCCUGGGUGAAUUGGCUUAGCUCGCUGAUGAUUUUACAGCCCCAGAAGCCAUUCUCUGAGUUGCCAGAUAAUCUUAAACCACAGCCGGGACGGACGAGUGCCGUCAGAAGAGCACUUGGGGUACAAGCUAUUUUAAACAAGUGUGCGUUCCUGUGAGUGGAGGAUCCUUCUUCUGUCUGGACUCCUGGUAACACCUGUUGCUCACUCUUCAUGCCGCAGUCUACUUCCCCCCUAAACAGCAAUGCAGCCAAGACAAACCAUGGCCACCUAGAGACAUGGCCAUGUGAAUAGCAGAUCCAGGCUUCCCCUGCUCUGGCACAGCCUGGGGUCCCCUGAAGGCUCCAAUGCCGGGAGUCAAGGAGCCAUGUGCGAGCAGAGAGCGGAGCUGGCAAGGCAACACGGUGAACUUUCAGUGCGGCCAGUGAAAGGAGACUUCCGCCUGAGGGUAUCGCGGCUUUGAUUCUGCCCCACAGACCAGCUUAAAACGAGCAUACAAAACAGAUCCAAAUGGUAAAUGAGCAUAAGAACCAUGAGGGAGUUGGCCAAGUCUCGGAAGCUUACACCUGGCUUUCAACAAGUCCCAGGCUUAAACAGGACUGGAGGUCAGAUCUGAAAAGACGGAGGAAAGCCAGGAAGCAAAAGGGAGAGUCCUCAAAGGAAUCGGGUAACAGCUCCAUGAAGAAAAAAAAAAAAAAUGCCAAUAAAGAUACUGUGCAAUGCAA